GUGCCAGCCGCCGCGGUAAUACGUAGGUGGCAAGCGUUGUCCGGAUUUAUUGGGCGUAAAGCGAGCGCAGGCGGUUUCUUAAGUCUGAUGUGAAAGCCCCCGGCUCAACCGGGGAGGGUCAUUGGAAACUGGGAGACUUGAGUGCAGAAGAGGAGAGUGGAAUUCCAUGUGUAGCGGUGAAAUGCGUAGAUAUAUGGAGGAACACCAGUGGCGAAGGCGGCUCUCUGGUCUGUAACUGACGCUGAGGCUCGAAAGCGUGGGGAGCGAACAGGAUUAGAUACCCUGGUAGUCCACGCCGUAAACGAUGAGUGCUAAGUGUUGGAGGGUUUCCGCCCUUCAGUGCUGCAGCAAACGCAUUAAGCACUCCGCCUGGGGAGUACGACCGCAAGGUUGAAACUCAAAGGAAUUGACGGGGGCCCGCACAAGCGGUGGAGCAUGUGGUUUAAUUCGAAGCAACGCGAAGAACCUUACCAGGCCUUGACAUCCUUUGACCACUCUAGAGAUAGAGCUUCCCCUUCGGGGGCAAAGUGACAGGUGGUGCAUGGUUGUCGUCAGCUCGUGUCGUGAGAUGUUGGGUUAAGUCCCGCAACGAGCGCAACCCUUAUUGUUAGUUGCCAUCAUUUAGUUGGGCACUCUAGCGAGACUGCCGGUGAC
RNAcentral lists this ribosomal RNA (654 nucleotides) under uncultured bacterium. Its description in RNAcentral is "bacterial SSU rRNA". It matches the Rfam family "Bacterial small subunit ribosomal RNA", at positions 505 to 1159 of the family's 1533-position model. The record is from RNAcentral.